UAAUACAGAGGGUGCAAGCGUUAAUCGGAAUUACUGGGCGUAAAGGGUGUGUAGGUGGUUAUGUAAGUCAGGUGUAAAAUCCUUAGGCUCAACCUAAGAAUGUCAUUUGAUACUGCAUAGCUAGAGUUCUAUAGAGGGCAGUGGAAUUUCCGGUGUAGCGGUGAAAUGCGUAGAUAUCGGAAGGAACAUCAGUGGCGAAGGCGACUGCCUGGAUAGUUUCUGACACUGAGACACGAAAGCAUGGGGAGCAAACAGG
RNAcentral lists this ribosomal RNA (256 nucleotides) under uncultured bacterium. RNAcentral's name for it is "partial 16S ribosomal RNA". It matches the Rfam family "Bacterial small subunit ribosomal RNA", at positions 521 to 776 of the family's 1533-position model. The record is from RNAcentral.